ACUAUCUUUGCGACGUUUUGUUCCGAGCCGUAAUUCUACGGUUAGGAUUAAAUGGGAAUCGGGUGAGAAUCCCGGACAGUCCCGCUGCUGUAAGCCUAUAAAGGGUCAGGCACUACUUUAGCCACUGUUUCUUUGAAAUGGGAAGGCGCCUGAACCGGGGUAAGUCAGAAGACCUGCAAAACAUUUUUUCAAUAG
RNAcentral lists this non-coding RNA (195 nucleotides) under Odoribacter splanchnicus. Lineage: Bacteria; Pseudomonadati; Bacteroidota; Bacteroidia; Bacteroidales; Odoribacteraceae. The record is from RNAcentral. RNAcentral also lists the same sequence under 1 other name.